RNAcentral lists this ribosomal RNA (246 nucleotides) under uncultured eukaryote. RNAcentral's name for it is "partial 18S ribosomal RNA". The record is from RNAcentral.
UCGUGGAGUGAUCUGUCUGCUUAAUUGCGUUUCACUAAGGGCUUAUAAAUUUACGUGUGUUGUGAGUACUUUGACCCCUAUAUUGAAAUAUAUAUAGUGCGUGUCUUAGUUUGCUUCACUCACACAAUUAAGUCCUGAAAGCAACGAACGUGACCGCAACCUCUUGUUGCUCCUAAUUUUAACGCGUAUUUAAUAAUAUUUAUAUUAUUUUAUACGUAUAAAGAAGCUUUGAAACUAGAGGGACCG